GACGAACGCUGGCGGCGUGCCUAAUACAUGCAAGUAGAACGCUGAAGGAGGAGCUUGCUCUUCUGGAUGAGUUGCGAACGGGUGAGUAACGCGUAGGUAACCUGCCUGGUAGCGGGGGAUAACUAUUGGAAACGAUAGCUAAUACCGCAUAACAGUAGAUGUUGCAUGACAUUUGCUUAAAAGGUGCAAUUGCACCACUACCAGAUGGACCUGCGUUGUAUUAGCUAGUUGGUGGGGUAACGGCUCACCAAGGCGACGAUACAUAGCCGACCUGAGAGGGUGAUCGGCCACACUGGGACUGAGACACGGCCCAGACUCCUACGGGAGGCAGCAGUAGGGAAUCUUCGGCAAUGGACGGAAGUCUGACCGAGCAACGCAGCGUGAGUGAAGAAGGUUUUCGGAUCGUAAAGCUCUGUUGUAAGAGAAGAACGAGUGUGAGAGUGGAAAGUUCACACUGUGACGGUAUCUUACCAGAAAGGGACGGCUAACUACGUG
This 495-nucleotide ribosomal RNA is filed under the name uncultured bacterium. Its description in RNAcentral is "partial 16S ribosomal RNA". It matches the Rfam family "Bacterial small subunit ribosomal RNA", at positions 28 to 507 of the family's 1533-position model. The record is from RNAcentral.